Molecule: ribosomal RNA, 478 nt
Filed under: uncultured bacterium
Lineage: Bacteria
Description: partial 16S ribosomal RNA
Rfam family: Bacterial small subunit ribosomal RNA
Source: RNAcentral
GACGAACGCUGGCGGCGUGCUUAACACAUGCAAGUCGAACGGUAAGGCCCCUCGGGGUACACGAGUGGCGAACGGGUGAGUAACACGUGGGUGAUCUGCCCUGCACUUCGGGAUAAGCCUGGGAAACUGGGUCUAAUACCGGAUAGGACUCCUGGCUUCAUGGUUGGGGGUGGAAAGCUGUUGCGGUGUGGGAUGGGCCCGCGGCCUAUCAGCUUGUUGGUGGGGUAAUGGCCUACCAAGGCGACGACGGGUAGCCGGCCUGAGAGGGUGACCGGUCACACUGGGACUGAGAUACGGCCCAGACUCCUACGGGAGGCAGCAGUGGGGAAUAUUGCACAAUGGGCGCAAGCCUGAUGCAGCGACGCCGCGUGAGGGAUGACGGCCUUCGGGUUGUAAACCUCUUUCAGCUAUGACGAAGCGCAAGUGACGGUAGUAGCAGAAGAAGGACCGGCCAACUACGUGCCAGCAGCCGCAGUAA